RNAcentral lists this transfer RNA (62 nucleotides) under Marmota marmota marmota (Alpine marmot). It matches the Rfam family "tRNA". Rfam says of the family: Transfer RNA (tRNA) molecules are approximately 80 nucleotides in length. Their secondary structure includes four short double-helical elements and three loops (D, anti-codon, and T loops). RNAcentral also lists the same sequence under 1 other name. The record is from Rfam by way of RNAcentral. Lineage: Eukaryota; Metazoa; Chordata; Mammalia; Rodentia; Sciuridae.
GGGAUUGUAGCUCAGUGGUAGAGCACAUGCCUGGCAUGUGAGAGACACUGGGUUCAAUCCUC